Papaver somniferum (opium poppy) is the source of this 2224-nucleotide long non-coding RNA. RefSeq lists it as uncharacterized. The record is from RefSeq and is a predicted model, not a curated record. The transcript has 2 exons. NCBI's taxonomy places the organism in Eukaryota, Viridiplantae, Streptophyta, Magnoliopsida, Ranunculales, Papaveraceae.
UCUUCUUUUAUCUCCUGUUUCUCCUCUUCUUCUCGUUUCUUUUUCUUUCCUACUUUGUUGUCGUUCGAGAGAUGAAAUUUAGGAUUUAAGUUGUUUGACUGAUGCAAUAACUAGAUGAAUCAAAGACGGGGUCGUUGUUGGAGUUGUUUAAGUUCUGGAAGAAGGAUUGAGAAUAAGAAGUUAGGGUUUCAUGAAGAUAAGAUUGAUUAAAGGUUUUUGUAGAACUGAAUAUGAAAUAGAUCAAUUGGAGAUGGGUUUUCAUUGUUGUUAGCAAAUAAGGGAAAUUAGAGUUCGAUUCUCAAAUCGCAGUGAAGGAUUAAGAAAUUAGGGUUUCUGUAAUUUCUAUUGGAAUUCGAUUUGAUAAAGGAUUAAGAAGAUUUAGACGGAUUGAAUUACAGGAUGGGUUUGAUAGUUUUGAAGAGUUAGUUUGAAGUUUGAGUUUGAAUUAAGGUUCAGUUUAGAAUUGAUGGUGAUGUUGGAAAUGUUUUGUGCUGGAUAAAUUGAGGUUGUGGAUGUUGUUUUGAAGUUGUUAAUGAAAUUAGGGUUGAGCUUCUGAAUUCGGGAUUUUGUUCAGAGUUUUAGAGAAUAACACCAUGGAUGGUGUUGAGGAAAUAUUAAGAAUGGAUUGAGUUGAAUUGUGGAGUCUUGGAUGUUCUUUGAGAUGUGUUGGUGAAUCAAAAUCAAGGUGAGAAGCGGAAUCUGAUUAAGUUGCUUGAGGAAAUUUACUUUGAGGUAAUUGUUUCUCUGAGUUAUUUAGUAAAGUUACUCAGUUCAUUGUUAAAUAUAUUUGCUAAGGAAUGGAUGUACAUUUGAGAUAGUUUUGGACAGUAGAGAUUGGUGUUGUAGAUGAAUGUUGAUGGUGCUAACUGUAUGGAUUUCAGUUCAUGAGAUUAGUAUUAAUAUUGUUGAAUUGGUGGUGGUUUUGUUAGGUACACUUGAUAGUGCUAAAGUGAACUGAAUUGAAUAUAGAUAAUGGGUUGGUUAAUGUUGUGGAAAGAAACUGAAUGUGCAGAGAGUAUAAGAUGGUUGUGUAUGAAUUCUGAAGAUGACUGCAGAGAGUAUAAUGGAUUGAACUACUAGACUUCUGAUCCAAGAAGCAUAGUACAGGGUUUUUGAGGGAGCCUUAUAAUAAUUAGUAUCACUGAAUGGGAUGUUGUGACUGAAGUAUUAGAAAGUGAAGUAGAUGAAUGUGUUCAGUUGGACGACCUCUCUAGUGAAAGCUUAAAGUUGGAAUUAAAGUUAGUCUAUAUUAACAAUGAUCGAUUCAAAGGAUGAACCAGUGGACCGUGGAUCUCGAGGUAGGCGUGGCUUGUCAUCAAAAGAGGUGGGAAUACAUUUAACUCUUUUGUGACCAUUGCUGUUUUCUUUUACAAAAGUUUGCAUUUAUCAAAUUCAUGCAUCGUUUGGUUACGCUUUCCAUGCAUUUUUUUAUUUAAAUUCCUUAUUUUUGUUCAUUUAAUCUUUCCGAUUGUUUCUUUUAUUUUCCGGAAGUUCUGUUAAUUCGUCUAAUCUUUCCAUGGUUUGGAAAUGACAUGUAAUGUUUAGCUUGUCAUUAUGAAUUGUUGGGAAAUAAGAAUUUCCUUAUUUGGUAUAUAAGAUACGUUCCUUCAUUUAUAGUUUCAUGCACGUCUUGGUGUGUAAUUGUCAACAAGGUUAUCUAGGUGUGUAAUUGUCACCAAUAUUACGGGUGUGUACAUUCACCCAGAGAUUAUCUAGGUGUGUAAUUGUCACCAGUAUUACAGUGUGUAAAUGGCACCACAUAAAUAAUGGUUGGUGUGUAAUUGUCACCAAUACGGUGUGUAAAUGUCACCACAAAAAUAAUGGUUGGUGUCUAAUUGUCACCAAUCCGGUGUGUAAAUGUCACCACAGAGAUAAAUAAGGAGUUAGUUCCAUAUAAUGUUUAGUUCUUUUAAUAUUUGGGAAAACAUGGAUUGUUAUCCAAAUCAUGUCGAUGUUUACUUAAAAAUUAUAUGUUAUUUCCAUUGGGCACCCCUUUUAGGGAUGAUUUGCUCACUCGUUCCCACUUCAGUUUUUCCGUUAUCAAAAGAAUCGGUGCGCAUGAAGAUAUCUGUUUUUGUAGCUUAACGUUUGGGCGAAUCGAAGAUGUUUGUUUAUCGUCUCUAUUUGUAUUGUUUGUCAAUUUGUUAAACAACACAUUAUUGUAUUCUUAUCACUUGAGAGAUUUUCAUUUAUGUAAUAUCAAAAUGGGUUAGUUUUGGGUUAA